UCGGAUCGCAGGCUGCAACCCGCCUGCGUGAAGUUGGAAUCGCUAGUAAUCGCGGAUCAGCAUGCCGCGGUGAAUACGUUCCCGGGCCUUGUACACACCGCCCGUCACACCAUGAGAGUCGGGAACACCCGAAGUCCGUAGCCUAACAGCAAUGGGGGCGCGGCCGAAGGUGGGUUCGAUAAUUGGGGUGAAGUCGUAACAAGGUACC
RNAcentral lists this ribosomal RNA (208 nucleotides) under uncultured bacterium. Its description in RNAcentral is "partial 16S ribosomal RNA". It matches the Rfam family "Bacterial small subunit ribosomal RNA", at positions 1293 to 1500 of the family's 1533-position model. The record is from RNAcentral.